Molecule: long non-coding RNA, 1927 nt
Organism: Planococcus citri (citrus mealybug)
Lineage: Eukaryota; Metazoa; Arthropoda; Insecta; Hemiptera; Pseudococcidae
Exons: 3
Source: RefSeq, a predicted model, not a curated record
UAGAUGAUCUUGAAAUUUUUCAAUCCCAAAACUAAAUACUUAUUCGUGAAGGUAGGUAUUUUAUCGAAAUAUUCAUCUUAUCAGAAAUCGACUGAUAAAAAUUCACUAAACUAUGAUCGCAAUAUGGCACUCGCGUAUUAUGUAAUCAAUUUUUACAUUUGAAAAAAAAUUGCUUACCUACCUAAUGAAAAUUUAAAAAAAUCUAUUAGAUAAUAAAUUCGAAAAAAUUUUGUUUUCAAAGAAAAAAAAACCGAAUACUUACACAAUUAGGUACCUACUGUAACACUUGUUAGAAACUGAUAAGAAACAAGGAAAAGGGAACGAAUCAGAUUAUUCAAAUGAUUUAAACAUUCAACUUCGGGGGAAAUAUGGCAAAUUGCCGAUACAGUCAAUCCCAUCUUUAGAACAGACUGAGUUAUUGCGAAACUUCGACGACGUUUACUUCAAUUAAACCGAAAACAUGGAUCAUAAAUUAUAUCUACCCCACAAAAGAGCAAAAGCAGAUAUACGAAGAUUGUUAAAAAAUAAUUUAAUAAUAAAAAAAAUACUUCUCGCAUCGUCACUUUGGUGAGAUAUCGACGCAAUAGGUAGUCCUCGUGUAAAUGUUAUUCAAUUUACAAUACUAAAUACACAUGUAUUUUACGUACCGGUCAAAACGCGUGCAAUUUUGAAUGCACAUUGCACAUGGCUAAAAUGUAAAAAUUCAACAUUCCAACGAUGCAAGCAUAACGCAGUGUAGAAGAAUAAUUUUUAACAUUGUAAUAUCACUCGAAUGAUUUAUAGUAAAUAAAAAAAAAAUCAUAAAAAUAAUACGCGAAAUGCUAAACGUCGAUUCACUGUUUGAAAAUUUUUUUUAAAAAUUUAAAAAUGAAGACAAUUUUCAUUUUAUGAAAGAAACACUACGAACAAUGGCGUGAGUUCCGAGCAACAAUUGAAAGAAACAAAUUCAAAACGAAGGAAACUGCAAGGAAUAAUAGGAACCAAUGAAAACGUUGAUGCGACUAAAUCAGUCAUCUUUGUGCUAAAAUAAAGAAGGAGAAACGGAUUGGAAGUGGUACAGUACAGUACAGAUGUAAGAAACUUGUUGAACAAUAUUUUGUAUCGAUGAACAUUCAUCUCCAGUUUUGCGUCAAUUAAUAAAAAAACGGGAAUGGGAAUUGCAAUUUAAUUUACAAAACUUUAUUAACUGAAGAUUGAAGAUCCAGAGACAAGAAAAACGUUGAUGAAUGAAUUUGAGAUGUGAUGAAUUAAUUAAUCUUACACAUGGGCCUAUUCACGUAGCAGCCUAAGUAUCAUACUAGUAUGUAAAUUAUCAAUUUUUAAAAUUAGGCUAAUCAGUGAUCCUCAUCCUUUAUUUGUAAAAUUAUUUAAUUAUUGUUGAAAAGUAAGGAUAUUUUUUUAACGAGGACGAUGAACCCUCUAUUUUAGAACCCAAACACGGAACAUGUUCUAAAUCAAAUUUUCAGCUGCCAAGAGAGAAAGACAAUCAUCUUCGUAGCUGAGCUACGCGACUUCAUUACAUGAUUUGAAUUUUCAGAUCAAAAAAAAUGUAUGUAUAAAACACUAGAAAACAAAAAAAAACUGAACACGAAAUAAACUACAAUUUUUUACAGUUUUUAACAAACAAUGUAAAAACAAAAAUAAAUAAAAUAAUAUCAAAUUGUGCUCGCAUCCGAACAUAUCCAAAACAUAAAAUUGUGCAAGUUUGAAAAAAAGAAUGAUUUCAGAUUUUUCCUCAUCAUUGAAUUCUGAAAUUUUCACAACUAACAAAUUUUCUCAAAGGAUCUAGAGAUUAUAUAAUCAUAUAAUGUCUUCGAAAAAAGCAGUUUCGAUCCUAAAACGAUGUACCCCAGCCUAAUAAUCAAUGACUAUCAAUGACAACACAAACAGCUAAAUUCAUCGAAGAAAAAAUGAACUUUCAACAAUU